Long non-coding RNA from Oreochromis aureus, 434 nucleotides. The record is from Ensembl. NCBI's taxonomy places the organism in Eukaryota, Metazoa, Chordata, Actinopteri, Cichliformes, Cichlidae.
AGAAUUGGCCAUCGAACCAAUCAGCUCGUGGGAGACGGUUUGGCAAGCAUCUCAGUGAAAUGACACAUAUAAUUUAGAGCCCGUUUGUACCGUUCUGAGAAGGAAGCCCCACACACUCUUGUAUGCGAUAUUACGUUUUUUGACAUCGAGUGAGCGUGGAGGAAGGAAAAUGUGAGAGCUGAGGGACUCAAACAAACAGCGAUGUUGUGGUUUCCUCAGGAAGGAGGUCGGUCCAGUUCAGACCAGCUCUGGUGAACUCUGAUCCUGUAAUUGUAGUCUGCAAAGAGCCGGUGGGAAAUGUAAUCCAACAUUCCUGAUUAAUCAGUGGCUCCAUCAAAACUGAAAGACUUCAAGUAUAAACCGAUAAAAGGGAUGAACAUCAUUAUAAAAACCCAAGAAGUGUAAUUUAACAAUUGACCAUAUGAAAGAAUACA